UAGUCCACGCCGUAAACGAUGAUUACUCGUUGUUGGCGAUACACAGUCAGUGACUAAGCGAAAGCGAUAAGUAAUCCACCUGGGGAGUACGACCGCAAGGUUGAAACUCAAAGGAAUUGACGGGGGCCCGCACAAGCGGUGGAGCAUGUGGUUUAAUUCGAUGAUACGCGAGGAACCUUACCUGGGCUCAAAUGCACGAUGACAGUCUCUGAAAGGGGAUUUUCUUCGGACAUUGUGCAAGGUGCUGCAUGGUUGUCGUCAGCUCGUGCCGUGAGGUGUCGGGUUAAGUCCCAUAACGAGCGCAACCCCUAUCAUUAGUUGCCAUCAGGUCAAGCUGGGGACUCUAGUGAAACUGCCUACGCAAGUAGAGAGGAAGGUGGGGAUGACGUCAAAUCAGCACGGCCCUUACGUCCAGGGCUGCACACGUGCUACAAUGGCCGUGACAAAGAGUUGCUACUUUGUGAAAACAGCUAAAUCUCAUAAACGCGGCCUCAGUUCGGA
RNAcentral lists this ribosomal RNA (501 nucleotides) under uncultured bacterium. Its description in RNAcentral is "bacterial SSU rRNA". It matches the Rfam family "Bacterial small subunit ribosomal RNA", at positions 791 to 1297 of the family's 1533-position model. The record is from RNAcentral.